GAUGAACGCUGGCGGCGUGCCUAAUACAUGCAAGUCGAGCGAAUGGAUUAAGAGCUUGCUCUUAUGAAGUUAGCGGCGGGCGGGUGAGUAACACGUGGGUAACCUGCCCAUGAGACUGGGAUAACUCCGGGAAACCGGGGCUAAUACCGGAUAACAUUUUGAACCGCAUGGUUCGAAAUUGAAAGGCGGCUUCGGCUGUCACUUAUGGAUGGACCAGCGUCGCAUUAGCUAGUUGGGGAGGUAACGGCUCACCAAGGCAACGAGGCGUAGCCGACCUGAGAGGGUGAUCGGCCACACUGGGACUGAGACACGGCACAGACUCCUACGGGAGGCAGCAGUAGGGAAUCUUCCGCAAUGGACGAAAGUCUGACGGAGCAACGCCGCGUGAGUGAUGAAGGCUUUCGGGUCGUAAAACUCUGUUGUUAGGGAAGAACAAGUGCUAGUUGAAUAAGCUGGCACCUUGACGGUACCUAACCAGAAAGCCACGGCUAACUACGUGCCAGCCGCCGCCGUAA
This 515-nucleotide ribosomal RNA is filed under the name uncultured bacterium. Its description in RNAcentral is "partial 16S ribosomal RNA". It matches the Rfam family "Bacterial small subunit ribosomal RNA", at positions 28 to 523 of the family's 1533-position model. The record is from RNAcentral.